This 460-nucleotide ribosomal RNA is filed under the name uncultured bacterium. RNAcentral describes it as "partial 16S ribosomal RNA". It matches the Rfam family "Bacterial small subunit ribosomal RNA", at positions 338 to 795 of the family's 1533-position model. The record is from RNAcentral.
CCUACGGGAGGCAGCAGUGAGGAAUAUUGGUCAAUGGACGAGAGUCUGAACCAGCCAAGUAGCGUGAAGGAUGACUGCCCUAUGGGUUGUAAACUUCUUUUAUAUGGGAAUAAAAUGUUCCACGUGUGGGAUUUUGUAUGUACCAUAUGAAUAAGGAUCGGCUAACUCCGUGCCAGCAGCCGCGGUAAUACGGAGGAUCCGAGCGUUAUCCGGAUUUAUUGGGUUUAAAGGGAGCGUAGGUGGAUUGUUAAGUCAGUUGUGAAAGUUUGCGGCUCAACCGUAAAAUUGCAGUUGAAACUGGCAGUCUUGAGUACAGUAGAGGUGGGCGGAAUUCGUGGUGUAGCGGUGAAAUGCUUAGAUAUCACGAAGAACUCCGAUUGCGAAGGCAGUUCACUGGACUGCAACUGACACUGAGGCUCGAAAGUGUAGGUAUCAAACAGGAUUAGAUACCCCAGUAGUC